This is a long non-coding RNA of Sceloporus undulatus (fence lizard), 406 nucleotides long. RefSeq lists it as uncharacterized. The record is from RefSeq and is a predicted model, not a curated record. Lineage: Eukaryota; Metazoa; Chordata; Lepidosauria; Squamata; Phrynosomatidae. The transcript has 4 exons.
CGGAGCCUGAGUCGGAGGUGGCGGGCGGCAUCCGGUUCCAGCAGCAGUAGCUGCUUGGCCACCAUAUUGGGGUUCCUUAUUAUUGCUGGAGCCUCGGGGGGCCGGGAAAGGAGGAGCAGAGCCAGGAGGGCAAGUUUGGGGCCAACACUUCUUGAGGGCUUAGUUACUAGCUCAAGAGAAGUGGGGAGUAAAGAGGACCCUUAAGUAAGAUCAUGGAGGAGAAUGGUGAAGAUGUGGCUUCCCUGGCUGCCUAUAUUUCCCCAGAUGGCAGUUAUACAGAGACCGUGCCAAUGCCGAAUCACGGCACAAUGACGGCUUCUUCGCAGGGCUCUUCCUCUGCCACAAAAUCCAGGCGCCAACCCGUUGGGACUGAUGAGGAAACCCGGGCCUUCAUCCAGGUGUUGGG